UGUCGCUCACGGUUGCCAGAAUCGUCAGGACUUCUUGAUUAGUCUGUGAGGAUUAUGGAAUAUGUGUUCUGGAGAUUUUGGAGGAAAUGAGGUCUGCAAAAUAGUAAGCUUUUGGAGAAGAAGAAGUUGCUGGGUCAGUUUCGAUUUGAAUCGGAUAAGGGAAUCUGAAGGAUUAAUGGUGGU
This is a long non-coding RNA of Rosa chinensis, 183 nucleotides long. RefSeq lists it as uncharacterized. The transcript is spliced from 3 exons. The record is from RefSeq and is a predicted model, not a curated record. Lineage: Eukaryota; Viridiplantae; Streptophyta; Magnoliopsida; Rosales; Rosaceae.